UUUACCGUCGAAAAAAUUUUUAUUAAACUUUAUUGUGCAUGUUUCUAAAAAAUACGUCUAAAAUUAAAAGUUGAUUGUGAUAAGUUGUUAAAAUACGUGUUUCUGUUUUAAACUAUUUUACAACAUAUUUAAAAUUUUUUUUCUUUUGGAAGGGAAAGGGAGAAGAGAGAAAUAACAUUACUGUUUCUUGUGAAAGAAAAUUUUACUUAUAAACUGUUGCGUAUUGUACGCAACAAGAACAAAGUAUCACUGUAAAUUACUCAGCUCCGUGAGAUUAGUUGAGAUAAUUGGAUGGCACCAGCAGCCUGAAGGCAAAACGUGAAACUACGCGAGAAACGUGGGGCGGAAUGACGUUGAUUUUAUGAAAUUAGGCGGACAUGGUAAAUCGAGAAGCGAUAAACCUACCGCUAACCCGAACUUUGAUGGUACGUUGACCCACGGUUGUCCAGCUGUAUAGCCAGCGGUAUGAAUCAAUAUUAAUUUUGCUAAUUAUGUCCUAUCCUAUUACGAUAGUAAUAUCGAUAGUAAUAUCGAUGUGCCGAGGAGCUGUCAUUUCCGUCGGAGCAAACGCACCUUGCGCUUUAAUUAAUUGAUACGUGAUCGUUAAAACCUUUUGCAUGCCGUAGCCGUGAUAUCAGUUUUGCAAGGAUUAUUUUUUUAUGGGACACGAACAAAGUGUUAACUAUACAAGUUAUCUACGAUGAGAUGCAUAUCACUUGUAUGUAAGCAUCUAGCUGAACACGCUGUAACGUUACUUGAAUUUACGUAGCGCAGCCAAUGAUCCGAUCAAAAUUUUAAGACUGGUAAAUUUAAAGUUGGUUUUUUUUCUUCGGGAAAAAGAAGAGAGUUUAGUGCUAUGUGUUUCACUUGCAUUUUAUGCGUAAUUUAUGAUGCGUUAAAAGAAACUCUUCGCGUAUUUCAAGAUUACCAGGACUGUUCAUCGUGAAGCUCAAAGUUUAUCCGACACACACGCGUAGUUUGCGGCGUCAUAAUUUAUCCGGUGUAUUUUGCUAGCAACCAAGGGCGGAGCAACAUCAAUUUCCUUAAUUACGUCAGUCGUGUUCUGAUAUAUUAGGCCAGUAAUUUUGACGUUGUAAUUUCGGGAGCGGCCGUUACUCAAUUCCAUUCCAAGGUUGCAGAUCAAAGCAUAAGCUUUGAAACUAAAUUUCGAAAAAAAAUGCUCGCACUUUUAGACUGAAAGAAAGCUUUACCUUUCGAACAAUAUUUCGAAUAUCCGAUACAAAAAUAAUUUAGUUUUCUCUUAAUUAUAGUAGAUCUGUUGUCAAAGAAGACGAAAUGUGUUUUUACUUUUUUUUUAUUUUCUGUUCUUAUUUUAUAAAAUUAUAUUGGUUGCGUACAAUAUUUCUUACUCAAAUAUGACAUAAUAAUUUUGCUGCUUACAUCAUAAUUUUCUAAUUAACUUUUGGUAUUAUAAUCAUAUAAGAUAAUUGCAAUUAUUAAAAAUAUAUAUAAAAAUUCUACAAAAUAAAAUAAUAGAUAAGGACUGGAAAAAAUUUUUUUCUAUAGUUAUAAACUCUUAUCGUUAUCGUAUGAAACACUUUUAUAUAUGUAUGUAUGUAGAUACGAAUUUUUUUUUAUUUUAAUGAAAGACAUGCAUUACGGGAAUAAUCAGAUAUUACUUCAUUCAGAUAUUUAAAUAUCUGGCACGAUCUCUAAUAACAAAUUUUUUUAAUCUAUUGAAAAAGUUUUUGCGCGUAACAGCAUCUUCAUUAAAAUAAUUCGUAGGUAACCAUAAACGUAAUUUUGGAGAUUUUUUUACUUAUAAAGCUGCUACGAGCAUUGAAAAUACAUAUAUAGUUACUAUACAUACAUACUAUACAUACGUAUACAGUUAAAUAUAAUACAUUUUGUAAAUAUAUUCGUUACAUUUAUCAAAAAAUCCAUAUUGAAAGAGAAAUUGUAUUCGUAAAUUCCUGGUAUAAAAGUUUUUACAAAGUUUUCAAGAAAAAUAUACUCCAAACAUUUGGAACCAUAUUUUUAAAAUAAGAAAGAAGAUUGAAAGAGAGAAAGAGAAAGAUAGAGAAAGGUAGCUUUUCUAUCGCGUUACUAUGAGCUUACAUUCGUGUCGCGAGUGUCAGUGAGGGUAACAAACGUGAUCGAUUUAUGCGAAUUACAUAUAUUGCGCGAGUGUCACAAAUCGGAAAUAUAAUGGUUACAAACGCCAAACGCGAUCCGCGCAAUUAUGGUUGUGGUUAUUCGAUAGGUUGGCACAGAGCGCUCGCUCGGCGUGAAUGUAGCUUUAGUUUAAACUAUAAGCUUUGGAACAUUACGGGGAAACACUCGCGCGUUUGGGGCGUACCGCGGAAAGAAAACUCGGCGACGAGAAUAUGCCGAAUUCGAUUUCAAAGCUUUAAAGUACAGCACGAUUGCCGCAAUUCGCGAAAUUACCUCCGUAUUGUCGUCUGCAAACAAUUUGCGUUCCCUGGCAACGUUGCGGCGCGAUUCGCAUAUUGAUGAAUCUAUAACUGAAGCGAUAAGAACAUAACGGAAGCGAACUCUCGAUGAAGGAUUAUAGUAUCAAAAGAAUACAAAUUAACCCAUUAUAUUGCGAGACGCGUAAAAUAGUUUUUAUAUUAAUCAGUUUUAUUGUGUCACAUUUAACUUUGCAAUUUUUUUCCUUAUGUUAUCUUAGUUGCUUUAUUUUGUUAAUUUUCGCUGCUAUAUAUUAUUUUAUUUUUUCCCUUGUAAGAAAAUUCUCUCUAGUCAAGGUAAACUGAAGGCAGGUAACGACAGCGUACGACGCUACACGUUGAAUUUUUAUCAAGAGAGCAUGAAUCACGUGAUUCUAGUCUGAGCAUCUUGCACAGACACACGAAGAGAGAUGUAAUUAACGCCGUUAUUGAAUGCGCGUUCCGCGAAGAGCGUAAUUAAUGGUAUUAUAGUUCUAACCCUUUUAGGUCGGAGCGAAGUUGCGGAACCCCGCCGCCGUAAUUGUGCCGUCGGUCCACCCUGCCGUGAGUAAUUAAUAUGUAUUGAACGAAGGAUCGAGAUCAUCGUCGUUUAUCACCCUCGAGAGCGCGCGUAAAAGUCCGAGCUACAACAUAAAGUUUUUAUUUAAAGCGCGAGAACCUUGGAAGCCGUUAUUCACAGUAUAGAGAUUCUUGAAAGAGAUGUGAAGGGUAUGAAAGAGAUUGGAGUAAAGAUUAAAUUGUUCCCAAGGAGUAAACGAAGCAUCUCUUCUCCGAUGCCUAAUCUCGUAGCAAUCUCAUUUUAUUCAAGGAAAUUCUGACGUAGUCCUUUAGUCGACUCUUUUGUACCUAAAGAAAUGAGAAAAAGAUGUGAUCCAUAAGUAUAUUGUAUUAUUCGAAAUUGAGAAGUUUUCAUCAAAAGUGAAACUCAGAAUACACUUUUACGAUUGUUUCGCACGAGAGUCCGCAGUUUCGACUUGCCAAAGUGAGUGAGUGACGCACGCAAAGUGAAUGUUUUAAAUUACGUUGUGCCCGUUAGCCAUGAUUUGGUCAGCUCGUCUCUCUCUCUUUUUUUCUUUUUUUUUUUUUUGGAAAAAGCGGAAACCGUGUUUCGGAAAGUAUUACGCUCUCGCUAAAAGUUUCAUCCACUAAAUUACAUUUUCAUCUCCUGCUGAUAACUGGGUUCCGCCAGUUUUCCACGGUUAAAAGAAACGAGUCGUAUAAAAAAAAUUCAAUUACCCACGGUAGACGUCGACGAUGAAGACGUAACUUCGUUCGAUCAGUUUCUUCUUCGACUGCAUCCGCGUCUCGUCCCGUGACGUCCUUCUGUUUGCAUCGUUCGCGAGCGUAUACCGCAGAAGUUGCGAAUUAACUCACGAGAACACACAUCCCCGUAUCUCCGACGUUUGGGAUAAAUUAUACGUCUCUCCUCCCCCGCCGUCGCGGCGCUAACUCGACGGCGAAAUUUCUGGCUGGCUUCGAUGCGUCGAAUCAUGAAAAAGGGAGGUAAGAGAGAUGGCUGGUACGGCAUCGCGUUCACGACACCGUAACGGUCAUGCUACAUGGCGCGCGAACUGGUCCAUACGUCCGAAUAACAUACGGCGACCACGGCGCUGGGCGCCCCGCAAUGUCGCAGCGUCAUUACACCGGCUUAAGAGCACGUAGCACCGAUACUUCGUAAUCGUUAAGCCACCGAUAGUCCAGUCAUGGCAACGGCAACUUUAUUGGAUUCGCGCCGGCUUUACGGCGACUGUUGCACGAAGCUGCAAUUGCUAAGCACACAGCGUUUGCACAGAAAGUAUUUAACCAACGAGUAGUGAUCCACGUGAUGGAGAAGAGAUGUAUAUAAUUUUAAUGGCAGAAAAACUGAAGAAAAUAAGGGAGGAGAACUAAUGAAAUUAUUAAGGUACAGCCGCUUAUCGAGUCUGCAAUUUUCUUGCAAUCUGAUCAAUGAAAUUAUAAUAUGUUAUUAUUUCUUCCUGCGAUUUCUUUCUCGUUUAACGAAGCUAUUAAUUUGAAGGUUUUUUCCCCCCUGUAUUAAUAAUCUCUCUGAUCUUAAUAAUCUUAGGGAAAAAGACUUAAAAUAAAUAACUUCAUUAAACGAGAAAGAAAUCGCAGAAGGAAAUAAUAACAGAUUAUAUUAUAAUUCCAUUGAUCAAAUUGCCAAUGCAAAAAAAAAGACCCGAUAAAUGUCUUUGAUUUCAUCAAUUUUCCUCCUCUUCAGUUUUUCCUCUCUUUAAAAUUACACUUUUACCACGGGUCUUAAUAAUCUUAUAGAGUCUCGUUUUUAAUUCACGCGAAUUUAAUUAUAAAUAAUUUCGCCAAAGCCAAAUGAGCCAUUCGCCCUCGACGUUCGGAAAAUUACGUGGGGACGGGAGACAAUACUUCUUGCGCGGUACAAUCAUCCACAAUGUAUCGAUUAACCGAUUCGUUGGAGCGUUUCCGGGAGCGACAACGUGGCGGUGCUUCGCAUACGGAACAGCCAGACAUAAACAAUAUCUAUCCAGAGUGCGCGGUAUGUUUGCACGUUUGUUUCCCCGUUGGCGUAGGAGUAAUCAACGGCAGCGCACACGGAGAAUUAUCUCUCGAAGUUAACCCUCCGCAUUAAUCGGGCCUGAGAUGCGGCGGCGGGGAUAUCGCGUCGCCAAAUGGUGCCUCUGCAUUUGCGGCACGUUUCUAAACACUGCUGCUGCUGCUGCUCCAUGCGCUUGCUUCUGGCGCCGAGAACGUUCGGUCUGCACCGUGUCGCCCGAUAAUUCAGCAUUUAUUGCACGACCGUGAUACAACGUCCUGCUUAUGAAUAUUCCUUUGUGCGGGCCACGGCUCCGCAUCCUCAUUAACUCCUUCGAUACAUUACAGUUACGUUAUAGUAUGCUCACAUGGUGAACGAUCAAAUAUCGAUAGAGGCUAUGCAUACCCCUGCCCGUUGAGAGUACGCUUAUCGAUCUCAUCAUCAUAAAACGCCUCUCACGAAUUACGCGCGAUCAUACAAGAAUAUGUUCUAAUUAGCAAAGAUUAUUACGUAGAGAUAAAUUUAGAUGUCAUGCAGCAAUAUUUCUUUUUAAUAUCGUCAAAUGUUUAUAAAUGACGUCAGCGCGAGGAAUACGUCGGAAUUACUGCAAACACUCUGCGUUUCGGCAUCCUCAUUUACUUGUCUUUAUGUGAACCGCGAGCUACAGAUUCUCGAAGUACGAACGGCAAGUGCCGCUCAAAUGAAGAGCAGCUCGUUCGUCGCGCAAUCCCGACAGCAAUUUCGAUGCGUUAAUUUCAUUAAAAUCACACAAACGUCGCCGCCGAGAGUGUUCCGUGUGCGCGUACUUAAGGGUAAUGCGUUGCUCCAAAUUGCGUGGUACGUUAAUCGCGGGUUGACGCGGCCGGCCGGAAAACGACGUUAAAACUCCUCGUGCACGUUAACUCUAUCGGAUUUUCGUACGCUCGCUUUGGUUCUCUGCGUUUCGUUCCAUGGUGGCUGCACUUCACCCGAAUUACGUGAAUGCAACGACGUUUCCUGUCGGGCCAAAAACGCCACCCGUUAACCAGUGAUCGACGCGGCCGACAUUAUUCUCGUUUACACGGUCCAAAAAAAAAUCACCAGUAGACAAGUACAUAAAAAUCUCACUUAAAACCAAACUAACAUGCAAAAAUUUACCGUCUUGCUUUAUUAUCUUUCUUUUUAAUUAUAGGACCGUCUUGAUAAUUUAAUUAGUAACACAAGUGUCACUUUUCGGUCGGAGCGGAUUUUGAUAAGAUUUCGAUAAUAAUUAUCAAAUAGAUUAUUCAAUUCUAUAAGCUGCGUCCGAAUAUACAUUGUAAUGCAAUUGUAAACUCAAGCUGGAAAUAAUAUCUUAAAUUAAAUUGAUCGUUAAAUUAAUAAUUAUGCUACAAGCAUCUUAAACUAUAAAGAACUUAUUGCGACAAAUUCUAUCUCAGUUACCAAGAUUAAAUAGAGCUUGUAGCAUCAUUAUUAAAUUGACGAUUAUUUUAAUUUGAGAUAUUAUUUUAAGCUUUCGCUUACGAUUGCAUUACACGUCUGAUAAUCCGUAUCAGCAUGUUGUUUAUAUGAUUAAAAAAUGUAUUUAAUUAAUAUAGAAAUAUUAUUGAACAUAUCGAAAUCUGUUUUGACCAAAAAGUAUUAUUUCUUGUGUUAUUCACAUAUCGCUAUAAUAUUCAAUUACAUUAUUGUUAAUAACUGUGUUUCACAUUUCGAAAUCUUUGGAAUGAGAUUUUUAUUUAAUUAAUAUAUAUUUAAUACAUAUUUAUAAAGGUCUCUAUUAUAUAAAUUGCUUUGCACAAUAUAGCAGAUCUUAGAUUCGGAACACUUGAUAUUUUAUUUUCUCUUUUUUAAUAAUAUUAACGAGACGGCGCGGAGAGAAUAUCGACAUUUGCAGAGCUUUCAACUAAAUGAAUAGGUGCAUUAACCUUUUCUUUGAUAGGGAACAACUGUCGUACGGCUAAUGAAAGAACGGUACGGUUCAUAAAACAUAAUAGUGUAAUUUCUAUUGUAGAAUGAUUUCCACAGGAAAUAUAUUUAUAAAUGAGAUAAGGCAUAAAUUGCUCUAACUUAUUAAAAUAAAAGCCAAGUAUUGCACAGCAUGCAAUUUCAUCAACGGCAACGGGGGAUGUUCUACGUGACCUUUUCUUACGAGAACGAUUAUAAGACCUGCUAUUAUCUCUGGAACGUGAUAUAAUUUCUCUGGAGUAUAAUUUACUAAUUGUAAUGAAGCGAGUAAUUAUGAAUAUUUCAUUAAAUAUAAUUGAUGCGUAUUGUACGAGCAAGUGACCUGUGCUGGCCUUUGAAUGUACGUUCAAUCGUAAUAAGUAUUAAUACGAUUAGUGUCGGUCUGAUGGAAGUUAAAUUUAUUCUUAUAUGCAUUUCGCCUCAUAGUCGAAAUAUGCAUAAUAAUUAUAUAUUAUGUUUCAUUAUUAGAGAUAUGUUGUUAAUUAAAAUUAAUCAUACGAAAUUGAUCAUAUAACAAUAAAAACAAUAUUCUUAUAGGCAAAUUAAUGUUGCGCUUGAAACAUUUGAUCAAAAUUUGUAAGAACAGCUGAUCUAUUUCCGUUUGCAGGCGCAAAGCCGUGACGGUUAUCUCACGCAUUAUUCCGUUCGAGUGGUCGAAAUGGUAAUAGUUAAUUAAUUAACGAUUAAUCGAUUGCGGUUGCGCAACGAGUGGGACGUGUAUUUUACGAUGGCCGAUGGCAGUUUCGAUCAUCAUUGCGCCGUGGCUUCGAUUGAUUACAUCCUAUAUGCACAAGGCUGCAAAUCGUUAACUUUGAACAUUCGCAAAUGCAAAUGCAAACGCAAAUCAAAUCGCAUUAAUUAAUGAAUGAAGUGAGAUUACAGCGACCCCACUUUCUAUUAUGCGACACGAAAGCAGAAAGUUCGCAGUUCAUUCAUUAUACAAAUUGCAGCAGUGUUACAUUCCGAUGAAAUCUCUCCAUAGACUAACGCGUAGUCUGUCCGCACAAUUAGCAUUACAUGUCGCACUUUAAUUUCUAUUUCACGUUUAAAUUGAAUGCGAUAUUCAUAUCAUAUUUAAUAAAUCGCUCAAUUAGAUUUAAAUUAAUAAAUCGAUUUCGGAGAAUUAUCAUCGUCAUAUAAAUGCAUAUGAAUUCAAGUCAUCGUAUACCUGUAGAGUAGAAUAUCUGACUGAAAUUUGUCGUGAUAUAAUUUAUGGAAACAAAAAUUAUUAAUCAAAAGAGAAACGUUGUUAUAUUAUACAUCUUCACAGUUUACGAUAGGUUCAGGUCUCAAAAUUUAUUAAGUCUUUUUAGGCUCAUAAUUCUAAAUUAUUAAUGUUGAAAAAUGAAAAUUAUCACCAAUAGUCUCAUGAAGUAAUUGCCUUUUAUCACACAUAUAUCCGUUUGUUGAAACAAUUAAUAUCCAUUUCAUCAGUUUUCAAGUAAGCACAAUUCUCAUCGGUAAAGAAUUAAAGCGAAAAAGCAGCGUCGCGUGUAGCUGCCACUAAAACUAUGCGCCCAGUUUUCUUUUGAAAUAUAUUUCCGCAUGUGCGUUUUUAUCGCGAAUAAAGCGCAGAAAUGUGCGCGACCCUUUUCGGUUUUCCUGCAAAAGAGGUUGUCGGAUUUGAAGGCGCCAGGGCCGCUUUUAGGAUAAAAAUCGCGCAUUCGAAAUGACGAAACGGAAAGAGACGAACCGUGAAACGACCGGAGGACCCUUACCUGCGUCGGAGCCCGUUUCGUCCGAAGUACACGCUGAGGACGUGCUCGAGAGUUUUGCUUGCGAUCCUUGCUGCUGCAAACAUUCCGACUUGACUGAAGAUCCGACAUUAAUCGUGCGUAACGAUCGAAAUCUCUCUCCGUGACGUCUCUCUUUCACUUGGACGUGACAAAAAAAAUGCGCCGCUGAUUUCCCUGACGUUUAAUCGAACUUCACUUAGCAAUAUUACUCGACAAUAACAUUUCUUUCUUUUUCUAUUCUUCUGCUAAAUCUUAACUCUCAAAUUGUCAUUUUAUAUGUCAAUUACAUUUAUUAUACAUCUGUACGAAUAUUCCUUUUCCAUUCUUAAUUAUUCAAAAUUGUAUAAUUACACAAAUUGACUAAAAUCUCAUUUCAAAUAUUCUGUUUUUUCAGUUAGUAUUAUAAUAAUUAAGAAACUUUAAUUAAUAAUAAUUAAGAAACUUUAUGCGACUGUGUUUACAAUAAUAUUUAUUCUAAAUGUUAAUACGGUAUGGAAUACAGGAUGUAACUUUCACAAAUUUAGCUUUAGUGUAUUAUUACAGAUUAGAGUUUCAUUAUCCUUUCUGUUUUCAUAAGCUCACAGCUAAAUCUCAUACAAGAGAAUACGGCUUAACUUAAAUACAUUUACACUGGAGAGAUACAUAACGCACAUUUCAUCACAUUAUUCUUAUUACUCAUUACUUUUCUUAGUACUCAUUUACUUCUAUUCUUAUUAAUUAAAGGCUAUCAAAAAGCUACCAAAACGUUGUGAUUAUAGCAAGAACUGUAGAAACAUUGAAGAAUUAAGAAAUCCAAAAAAGACUACGAAAGAGAAUUUUUGUAUAUUUGUAUAUUAAUAAAUUAUUCAUUACAGAAUAGCACGUAACAAGUAAAAAGAUUUAAUCAACGUAAAAUUAUCCUAGAACGAAAUAUUAUCUCGAGAUAAAUAGCUGCAUUCUAUCACAUUUUGCUAUAAAUGUGAGUAACCAAAUAUAUAAUAUUUAUAUACAAAAAAACAACCAUAAUUACAAACAAAAUUAUAUAAAGAAUAGCAUUUUAUAAAAUAAAAGUUGUAAAUAUUUUUUGAUAUGCUUGUUGUUACAUCAGUAUCGUGUUGUUUUAUAGACACAAUACUUAAAAAAUUAAUUUGAUAAACGAUGCCUAUUAUUGGAUGCACUAAAGAGGACAAUUGCAAAAGAGAUGCUUUUCUAAAAGCUAGGCAGCUCGAGGCCGAACGAGGCACUGCAGGUACACUUACCCCAUUCCCAUUUAGUUUCGCGACAUUUCGUAUCAAAUAAUGCUUUAUCAAUGCGAAAAUAUUAUUCCACACGAUCCCCGAGCGAACCAAAGCGUACAACUAUUAUUCUACCGCGGUAUUAGGAAACCCACAUAAACAAGGGGAGAAUACCGAUCCGAAAAAGACCCGACAAGUGACAGUUUCAUCAGACGUUGACGUGGCCCCAGAUUUGUCCGGAAAUCCUGACGACGCAGCGCGUCACGCAUCCGGAAAUAAACAUCUAGACGAGCGAGCAGCCGCUCUCGACGAACCGGUCGCAAUUGCGCAAAAGGAUCCCGUAGAAAUCCCUGCAAGCUACGACAGUCCCCGAGAUACUUGUCCAGACUCGACAAGCUGAUGUACCAAAAUUGUCCGUUGACGGUCAAGAAACGAGAACCGAGAGUCAACGCGCACCUCGGGAAAUCCCGGAGUUUCGUGAGAGACAAGAUGUAAUCUAAAGCUUCUGGACAAAAAGCCGAAGCGAAAAUUAACGCUUAACGCUAAUUUGGUAUUCCCUUCGCUUCGAUAGCCUGCGGCAGCCAAAGUAAGGCUCUUUGACAUAAUGAAUGAUGGAAGCUUUUCCAUUGUCGGAUAACUUGCUUAAUUAAUUUGUUUCGUUUGGUUUCUGCUAUUCGCUUAAGUACGAUUGGUGAUACGAUUUGCUGUUAAUUAAUAUCUUACAAGUGAAUGCAAUUGAUCAUAAAUCAUUAUGUAUAAUUAUCAUAAAAUCAUUAAAAGCAGAAACUUAAAAUGUCUCUUUUAAAUUUAAAACUACGGAAAAAUAUACAGGAUGUAAUUUGAAUGGCUCUGAGAGAAUAAUAUAACUAUUCUUUUGUUCCUCAUUUUCUCAUAAAGUUGUUAAAAUAAUUUAUGUUCCUUUUAAUAGAAUUACACGUUUUUAUCUCUUGCUUGUAGCAACUGAAAAGAAUCUACAUGGUAAUUAUGGAAUAAUGUUGGAUUCAAAAAGAGAAAACAACAAAAUGAGAUAUUAUUUCAUUCAGAAUUUACAUAAAAAUUUUUGAAGGUUUAGAAUUCCAAGUGUUUUAUAUAUUUUUUCGUAUCUUUGAAUUCAAAAGAAAUAUUUGUGCACUCUAUUUCUGAUAAUUUAUUCCAUAUAUUAUGAAUAUUGACUCAACAAAUAAUUUAGUCCGUAGUUGAAUACGUGUCAACUUGUUAAUUAAAACGUGAAUUUAGUUUACUUCGGCUGUUUUACUUAUGGCUCGCGAAAGUCUCUUUUUCAUCUUGCGUCAGUCUUCUUGAUACUUCCUAAACGACGUUUUAUUUCCUCCGCGUCCCUAAUUCUCAUCCAAAGCCGAUUCAAUGUACGUGAAGCCGAUUCCAGCUGUUCCCGAGCCCUCGCAAAAACAAGUGGAUACGAAAGAAAUACCUCUCCACUUAACGACGGAUUACGGGGGAGAGAGCGACGAAUCGCAAGGGUAAAUUUGCCAACUACCCAAGUAAUUAAGGGCAGCCCAAUCGGGGAUUCUGGGUCACUUCCCCGCCCUGAAGCAGAGUGAGAGAAAGUGAGAGAGGAAAAAAAACGAAGAAGGGGACGCACGAAGUGUGUUCGCUUACCGAAGUCGUCCUGAACAAACUUUUCGCAAUCUUCCACGCCAUUAUAUCGCGAUGAGAAGAUCAAGCUAAGCCGACGGCGUGAUUUCGUACAACGCGAUACUGUCGAGCAGCUUUGUCACGAAAAAGCACGCAGGCGACCCUAAUUGUCCUGAUCCGAUUGUCCUGAUUGCCGGCACGAUGGACGACGAAGGUAAAUCCGAGGCGAGAUUACCAAACCGAAAUUUCGUUGUUCUUACGCGAGUUAAUCGCAAGUCUGUUUAUCGAUUACCUACAAGCUGACUUCGGACAUUGGCCGACCGUAGUUUCAAGAAGUUGGAAAGAAAGAUUUUGUAAUAUCGAAAAAUAGCAAAAAUUUUAACAUUUAUUAAGAAUAAUCGCGUUCAACGUAGACGUGAAUCUCGGACAUAAAUUUUUAGCGAUUGAUAAAUUUUUAAUUGGAAUUGAACAAAAGGAAAACGAUUCGCCUGAAAUGUUCCGUAUGUUUCUGCAGUUUCGAACAAGACUGCCGAUUCUAAGGCAAUAAAAUCAGAAAUGCCAGAUGGUGCGGAAGACUCCUCAUUACAGACUGCAAUGAUCGAAGAAACGCGAGAGGAUAGCAGCUUGUCGGAGGCAGCUAUCGAUGGAGGAUCCGAGCUUGAUGAGGAGAAAAACGAAAGAUACCAAACGGCCGUAUUUACAUUGACUACGUUUGCUGUAGUUUUCGUGCUUUAUGUAUACGUGGUGUAUAGCCUGAGCAGUCCGCCCACUCUGUCCCAAUGUUAAUUCCCGUUUAAUUAACUAAUUCAAAAACAAAGUACUGCGCAUCUUAUCGCAAGUUAUACGAAUUAAAUUAAAUGCAAAAUUAUCGUUUCCACAAUUUUGAGAACAAACUUCACUCUUAUGUUUCUCAGAAUUGAGUACAGUAUUUUUUCAUUUAAUUAAAAUAUUAUUACGCCUAAUUUUUGAUAAUAUUUUCACAAUAAUUUGUAAAUAUCUGUUUUUAUAAUUUUUAAUAUUUUGAUGAAUAUAUUUAUAUUUCUCUCAAAUUACUGUAUAUACAUUUAAACGUAUAUAGUAUGUAUAUGAAUUAUAUUUUAUCAAAUUUUUGAUAUUUCUUUGAAUUUCUGGGGAAAAAUGAUUAAGUCGAAUUGUUAAGCGAAUGGCCUACUUCUGAGAAAUUAAUUAAAUUUCUGGAAUUUCUCUUUGACAGUGAGCAACGAUUUCUCAGUUCGCCAUGUGAUAUAAUAUGAGUAUGAUCUUAUCUUUCCGUUCUCUCUACCUCUCUCUCUUUCUCUCUUUGUCUUGUUCCUUUUUGGAACAUAGAAAGAUAUUGUGUCGUAUAAAUCUUUCUUUUCCACCUCUGAACGUGGAAUUACACUCGAAAAUAUGUUUCGAAUGACUGCACCGAACUUAAUGAUCGGAGUUACCACGGCACUAUCACAUUUCCUUGCAAUGAAAAUUUAAGGAGACGCCGCACUAACGAUAUAUUAACAUGGGAAUAUGUAGUUGGAAGUAUCGCGCGAUAUGAUAUUCAGUGAUGAGUUUUCCUUAUUUCGCUGUGUUUUAUGUCUACAAGUAUUAAAACAGCUUUACAGCUUUCUCCUUUUAUGAAAAGCGUAACCGUAAAACUACAUAUAAAAUAUUGAAGAAAAAAAGAAAAGA
Molecule: long non-coding RNA, 13096 nt
Organism: Monomorium pharaonis (pharaoh ant)
Lineage: Eukaryota; Metazoa; Arthropoda; Insecta; Hymenoptera; Formicidae
Exons: 2
Source: RefSeq, a predicted model, not a curated record